AUCUCAUAUGACCAACAUUUGAAAUGGAGGAAUCAUCUCUACAGCUGCUGCUGGUUGUGACUUCACUGCUGACCAUCCCAACAAACCAAGUCUCUCUGACUCUGAGUCCCAG
Molecule: long non-coding RNA, 112 nt
Organism: Perca fluviatilis (European perch)
Lineage: Eukaryota; Metazoa; Chordata; Actinopteri; Perciformes; Percidae
Exons: 3
Source: RefSeq, a predicted model, not a curated record